Long non-coding RNA from Zingiber officinale, 747 nucleotides. RefSeq lists it as uncharacterized. The record is from RefSeq and is a predicted model, not a curated record. NCBI's taxonomy places the organism in Eukaryota, Viridiplantae, Streptophyta, Magnoliopsida, Zingiberales, Zingiberaceae. The transcript is spliced from 3 exons.
UUUUCCCUUUUCUUUUUCUUCUCUUCAUCGCCGAACCCGUGCCCUAAUCCUCCCGAUCGUUGUCCCUUCUUCUCCCUCACGUGGCGUUGAACCCGAUCACCUUCCCCUCUUGCGACAUCUCUUCUCCCUCGCCUACAAAACCACCGACCUCCUCUUCGUCUUCCCAAUUCCUCUGCCCUAACUUCCACCUGAGUUUUCCUCACCCCUGAUCUCAUGCCACCCACUUUUGAGUGACCUCCUCCUAUCGCCGCUGCCACCUGAGGUCGCACCACCGUUUGCCGAUCGCCGGGCAUCGACGCCGAUAGCCUCUGCCCUGGUUUCCCCUGAUUAUCUCAUUUCUCUUCCGAUCUCCUCUUCGCAACCACUUUCCCUCUACCCUAACUCUCGAUCCACUACUGACGAGUGCUGGUCUUCCCGAUCCAAGGCGCCACCUCUGCACGAGUUGGGCUUCAACCAGGGGUAAAGAUCCAAGCCCUUGCUGCACCCGUGCCCUAGACCUCACCACCGGGUCUUCCUUCUUCACCAUCAGUCGCCAGCAGAGAAGAAACGAGGGGUAUCGAGUUAGUGGUUCCUGGGCAUAGACAGCCACAAAUCUUUGACAAUGAUAUCUUUCGGCAAGCAUUUCUUCAACAGUUGGUUUACCUGUCGGUGGACCAACGGAAGCUGCUUGAGUUGAGAACUUUGAUUCAAUACGAGCAUCUCGACGUGGGGUCUAUUUCGGAGACGAUCUCCAAUUUUUGAGGCGGG